AGAGUUUGAUUCUGGCUCAGGACGAACGCUGGCGGCACGCUUAACACAUGCAAGUCGAACGGAGGCAUUUGGUUACUGAGAUGUCUUAGUGGCGGACGGGUGAGUAACACGUGAGCAACCUGCCUUCAAGAGGGGGAUAGCUUCUGGAAACGGAUGGUAAUACCCUAUAACAUAGAGACACCGCAUGGUGAUUCUAUCAAAGAUUUAUCGCUUGAAGAUGGGCUCGCGUCUGAUUAGAUAGUUGGUGAGGUAACGGCUCACCAAGUCGACGAUCAGUAGCCGGACUGAGAGGUUGAACGGCCACAUUGGGACUGAGACACGGCCCAGACUCCUACGGGAGGCAGCAGUGGGGAAUAUUGCACAAUGGGGGAAACCCUGAAUGCAGCGAUGCCGCGUGGAGGAAGAAGGUUUUCGGAUUGUAAACUCCUGUCUUAAAGGACGAUAAUGACGGUACUUUAGGAGGAAGCUCCGGCUAACUACGUGCCAGCAGCCGC
RNAcentral lists this ribosomal RNA (494 nucleotides) under uncultured bacterium. Its description in RNAcentral is "bacterial SSU rRNA". It matches the Rfam family "Bacterial small subunit ribosomal RNA", at positions 8 to 518 of the family's 1533-position model. The record is from RNAcentral.